UGCCGAUGACAGCAAGUUCCCAGGAGAGGAACAACCAGUUUACAAGUUCCCACUUGAUGAGAAGAUACCUGACUACAAACCCUCGUCUUAUAAUCCACCUGAUUACAAAUCACCAUCUUACAAUCCACCAGGUUACAAGUCACCAUCUUACAAGCCACCUUCCUACAAUCCACCAGUUUAUAAAGCACCAUCUUAUAAUUCACCAGAUUACAAGUCACCUUCUUAUAAUCCACCAAGUUACAAACCACCAGUUUACAACCCACCUUCCUACAAUCCACCAAGUUACAAAACACCAUCUUAUAAUCCACCAGUUUACAAGUCACCUUCCUACAAUCCACCAGGUUACAAAGCACCAUCUUAUAAUCCACCAGCUUACGAGUCACCUUCCUAUAAUCCACCAGGUUACAAAGCACCAUCUUAUAAUCCACCAGCUUACAAGUCACCUUCCUAUAACCCACCAGGUUACAAAGCACCAUCUUAUAAUCCACCAGCUUACCAGCCACCUUCAUACAAUCCACCAGGUUACAAAGCACCAACUUAUAAUCCACCAGCUUACAAGUCCCCUUCCUAUAAUCCACCAAUUUACAAGCCACCUUCCUACAAUCCACCAGGUUACAAAGCACCAUCUUAUAAUCCACCAUCUUACAAGUCACCUUCCUAUAAUCCACCAGUUUAUAAAGCACCAGUUUACAAGUCACCUUCCUACAAUCCACCAGGUUACAAAGCACCAUCUUAUAAUCCACCAGUUUAUAAGCCACCUUCCUAUAAUUCACCUGAUUACAAGCCACCUUCCUACAAUCCACCAGUUUACAAGUCACCUUCUUAUAAUUCACCAGAUUACAAAACACCUGAUUACAAGCCACCUUCCUACAAUCCACCAUAUGGGAAGUCACCUUACCCAAAGUACCCUCCAGGAUCCAAUUGAAGACACCUAGUAAGUUAAGGGGUGUAUUAAGUAUAUGCUAAAUAAGAGGUGUAUCAACAACGAUCGCCAUGCUCAUCAACA
RNAcentral lists this long non-coding RNA (1006 nucleotides) under Glycine max (soybean). RNAcentral's name for it is "long non-coding RNA (GMAX_LNC003480)". Lineage: Eukaryota; Viridiplantae; Streptophyta; Magnoliopsida; Fabales; Fabaceae. The record is from RNAcentral.